RNAcentral lists this ribosomal RNA (249 nucleotides) under uncultured Eubacteriales bacterium. RNAcentral describes it as "uncultured Clostridiales bacterium partial 16S ribosomal RNA". It matches the Rfam family "Bacterial small subunit ribosomal RNA", at positions 796 to 1041 of the family's 1533-position model. Lineage: Bacteria; Bacillati; Bacillota; Clostridia; Eubacteriales. The record is from RNAcentral.
CACGCCGUAAACGAUGGGUACUAGGUGUGGGUAGUUCACUCUAUCCGUGCCGCAGCAAACGCAUUAAGUACCCCGCCUGGGGAGUACGGCCGCAAGGUUAAAACUCAAAGGAAUUGACGGGGGCCCGCACAAGCAGCGGAGCAUGUGGUUUAAUUCGAAGCAACGCGAAGAACCGUACCAGGGCUGGACAUCCACAGUAGGCAUUAGAGAUAGUGCUGUGCCUCGUAAGAGGAACUGGGAGACAGGUGG